Molecule: long non-coding RNA, 1311 nt
Filed under: Carica papaya (papaya)
Lineage: Eukaryota; Viridiplantae; Streptophyta; Magnoliopsida; Brassicales; Caricaceae
Description: long non-coding RNA (CPAP_LNC005104)
Source: RNAcentral
UCUUCUCCUUUUCUACCUAUUUUAUCCCAAUAUGGCCCACUUUACUGAUACAUUAGGUCAUCCAAGUGACUUGUUCAAUUGCUUCUGCGGAAAGUAACUAUAGAUCUUACUCUUCAAAAACUAAGAAGGUGCCAUAGAACGCAUGAAAAUAAAACAGAAAAACUUGGAAGAAAUGCCAUCGGGGACUCUUUGAAGAUUAGUAGAAAUAGUUUUUCGUGGAAACGUAAAUAAAUUAUAUGGUUUGGAUAAUGCAACCAACUACGCUAGGACAUUCACUUCUGUGAUAACUUUUUCUUUUUAGAAACUUCAUUGUCCGUGAAUCGUUAGAAUUAAUGUCUUUGACUACUUCGCUGGAAUUUUUUCUUCUCAAUUCUAUCGUACAUUGAUUCUUUGAAGGCUUAUUUUUGUGAACCAUCUUUGGAGUUUCUUACACACAAUCUUACCAGAUAUACUUUUUGCUUUUCUCCCUUUUUUUAUGGAAAGUGAAAACUCAGUCUAAGGUGAGAGUCUUCAUGGGGGCAGCGGUUCUAAAUAGAAUCAACACUAAUGAUUUGCUUCAAACUCGUGGACCUCAGAGCAUGUUUUCUUCAGACUUUGUUUGAUGUUUUUUCACAGCUUAGAACAUGAUAGUCAUUUCUUCUCCAUUACGGAAGGACUGGAGGAUUGGAUUAGAUUAUUUUCUCCUUUUUGUUUCUUGAGCAUGGCUUCCGAUCAGAGGUUCUUCACCUCUGUGUUAUUUUUGCUGGGUGAUGAGUUCUUUGGUUGGAGAGAAAUGUCAGAUUCUUUAAGCAAAGGUUUUAUUCAUUUUGUGACAUUUGAUAGAGGAUGGUGCUUUUGACUUCUCUUUUGGCUAAACCCCACGGUUUCAUCAGGAGACUUCCUCAUCCACACUACAAAGGGAUUGGAUUGCCAUCUUGUAUUAAUAUAGCUUUUACUUUUGUUUUUCCUCUUUGAAGGAUAGUUUAUCUUCCUUUCGCUUGCAAUCUUUUUCUUUCAAGUUCUAAUACUAUUUCAUCUUUUAACUAUGGCAUUGCUUACAGAAAAAUGGAAAAUCUGGUUAGUGCAAUCAUUUUCACCACUUCCCGACCCAAUAAAUAGGCAAAGGAAAGACUACAAACACAAAAAUACUGAUGCUACUAGGUGUGCUUUUGUUCUUUGUUUAUCUAGUGACACUCUCCUUAUUUUAAGUAUUAGUUUAAACAAACAUGAUCACUUCUACACUCAACUUGAACUAUAUUAGUUUUUUUUUAAAAGAAAAAAUAGUAAAUAUGUAUUUGUGGCCCUCCACUAUUCACUGGUCUUGGUUUCUGU